This 7627-nucleotide long non-coding RNA is filed under the name Jatropha curcas. Its description in RNAcentral is "long non-coding RNA (JCUR_LNC000006)". The record is from RNAcentral. Lineage: Eukaryota; Viridiplantae; Streptophyta; Magnoliopsida; Malpighiales; Euphorbiaceae.
AUUUACCUAGCUAUAGAAUGUGUGGAAAAUUGAAUAUUCCUGGUUAAAAUGACCGAAAGUAGCUCGAAUGCUCAAAACCGAUACUGUUGGUGCGAACUUGGAUGGAACUGACGAGGACUGUGGCUGACAAAGCUAUUAGCAUCAUGAGGAGGGUCUAAUCGACCAGUCUUUGGUUGAUCUUGCCGGAGAAUCGAAGAGAGGAGCUGCAGGAGACUGUGCCGAUCGGAAUAGCACAGCUCUCCUUUGCUGCGCCAGCGGAAACAGAGAGAAAAGGAAACUGGAGGUGGAGGAGUGGUGGUCGAAGGUGGAGGAGUGGUGGUUGAAGGCGCUGGUCUCAGGUGAUUGGAAAAACGAGAGAGGGAAAGGGGUGGGGGGCAGCGAGCUCGCGUGGAGAAGAAGAAGAGAAAGAAAAAGAAAGAAAGAAGAAAGGAGGUUUCUAGCACAUUCUAGGCCAUUCCGGUUCGAUUCAAAUCAGUUUGGUCUAAUUUGAUGAUUUUACUUGAUUUUCGCUUGAUUCUCGGAUUUUUCCACUGGUUCUCAAGUUAUUCGUGUGGUUUUCGAAAAAUCAAUUCGAUUUUCGGGUUCGGUUCGAUUUAUUUCGAUUGUUUUAGUUAGGUUCCGUAACUCUUUCUCCAUUAACUCAAUAAUAAUAAAAAAAUAUUAAUAGUAACAAUAUUUGAUUUCAGGAUAGUUAAUUUAUAUAUAUUCAUAAUAGAUUAAAUUGCUGGAGUUUCAUAUUAUUUCUCGAAAAUUUUAACUGUUCUCAAAUCGAAAAUUUCCGAUGAUAUAUUUGGGCUUAGGCCCAACUCGCAAACUUGGGCUCGAAUGGAGAUUUUAUUCUACUUACAGCCCACCCGAUUAAAAUUUUUGAUUUUUGAUUUAAUAAAAAUUCAAGAGUUUUGAAAAUAAAAAUUCGGGGUAUUUCAAAUCCACAUGAGGCUUAUUGAAAAAGUGGGAGAUUCAUAUCGAGUAGUGGGUGCUCGGGAUGACAGUUCUGAGGAUGAGGAAGCUGAGGACGCAGGUGAUGCUAACAUGGAGGAGGGUAAUUCGACUCCUUUUGUUCCUUCUUCUGGUGCAGGUACUUCUAGCGCUGGUCCAUCCUUUCAAGGAACUUCGAGCAUGUCCAAUGACGAAAUCCUUGCACGGAUGAUGUCCCGAAUGGACAUGUUCGACACACGCCUUAACGGGAUGGAAUCCAUGAUUGCAAACAGAUUCCAAUCCAUUAAGAUUAUGCAUGGGAGCCUCGAUUCUAGCAUGGAUACAUUGCAAGGCCAACUCUAGACUGUCAUUCAGUUAUUGCAGCCACAUCCCCCUCCACCACCGGAAUCCUGAUGGAUUUUUGAUUUCCUUUCGUGUUUUUCUAUUUUGAUUUUUAUUCUCAUAUACUGAAUGUUCUGUCUUGAAUUUUUACUUCCUUUUGUUAAUGUUUCCAUUCCUUUGAAUAUUUUAUCUUUUAGUAGCUUUUUCUUUUAAUGUGUUUCUGGUCUUUUAGCUAUGACACAUUCCAACGCUCAGCUCUAUUGUAUUUUCCAAUGCAAUUUUGGUAAUGCUUACUCCACUCUCUUAUUUCUUUUCUUUUGUUAAUGUAAUAAGUUUGGAGAAGUAGGUUUAUUUUGAACACAUUGGGGAUAAUGUGUCGAUUAAAUUGGGGGAAGGAAAAAUUUUAGCUAAAAUUUUAUUUUUUAUUUUUGCUUAAAAUGGUUGGAAUAAUUGUGAGCAAGCUUGAAAAUUAUUGUAAUUUAGUAACUUGUGAUAAAUUUAGUUGUUUUUUAUAGUCUAGUAUUUUGAGCUUUAAUUUUAAUUUUUGACUUAACAUGAUUCUUUGGUUUAACUAUUUGUUUCUAAGAUUAUAAACACCACCAAUUUUUUUAAAAAAAAAUUUAUGAUAUAUAGAUAUGUUUUAAUUAAAAUUUAUUUAACCUUGGCAUUCCUAGAACAAAUUAGAAUUCCCUUUGAGACAAAACUUUUAAAUGCUUACAUUUAGAAAGAGAUGAUUUAGGCAUUCUUUGUUGAACUCCUUAUUUAGCCUAAGCCAACUAAGUUAAAAUAUGACUCUUGCAACCAAUUUGAAGCCUAUAUCCAAAUCUUAUUGUUCUUAAUCCUAGCCAUUAAACCAAUUUAAAUUCCUACCCUAAGUGCAAUAAUAUAUAAUUGAAGGAUUUGAUUUUUUUUAAAACCUAGCAACAAAAAAGGAGAAAAAUUCAUUAAUACUAGCAAGUGGAUCAAUUAGAAAAAUCAAAGAGAAAUACCCCAUAAAAGAAGCAAUCACUCGCAACAACUCAAGUUUGGGGAAUCAAAAGCAAGGAAGAAAUUAUCAAAAUAUUAUGAAAAGACCUUGCCAAAAUAUCUCUAAUCAUGAGCUAGUGAAGAAUUUCAAGAUUAAAACUCCCUUUAAACAAAUACUGUUUUGGUAUAAUGAAAAUCUUGAUAUUAUACAUUUUUUUUGUACUCCUUGUCUAUCUUUGUAUCCUUUUCUUUGAUUAGCUAAAUUUAUACCUCGAAAACCUCAUUACAACCUAAAUAAAGACCUUUUGAUCUUUUAAAAUUGUAAGCAUUUCAAUUGUGGAGAAAUGAUGACUAAUUCUGCAUAUGGGAAUGUUAAGAAGGUGUCACGACUGAUUUAUUAAAUAUCCUACAUGUACUAGGGUCACUACAUACUGCCUAAUACACUCACUACAUACUCAACUUUCACCAUAUUACUUCCUACAUUAUACUAACUAUCCCUUAAUUAUAUACACCACCUUUGUAAUUCUAUAAACGAUUCAACAUAAUUACCCAACUUAUCAUUUUUCUUUUUUUUUUAUCAAUAAGUACUGAUCAAUUCUUGAUCAAUAUGUCUUAAAAUUUAUUCUCAUGUAAGCAUAAUGAGAUCAACACGAACCACAAUUUUUCCUACACUCGUGAAAUCCCAAAAUAUAGAAAUCCUUAUCUUAAAUCCCCUAAUACAUCAUUACUCCUAUUUUUUAUCAAUUUUAAUAACAGUGACUCCAAAUUUAUCAAAACUCUAAAUACUGACUAUCCUCAUUUAAAUCAUACUAAUUUAUACUCGUUAUGUUUCUGUAAUUGAUUCUUUUCUUAAUAUCCAUACAAUAACAGGACUAGAUUCAUCCUUACUUAUCUAAUCCAUUAGUAUAACAUCAAUUUAAUAAUUGGACAAUUAUCUCUCCAUGUUCAAUGUCAUUCAUCAAUACACUUAAUCAUCAUAGCCCACUAUUUACAUAACAUAAGUACCUUAAUUCCCUUAUAGAGUCGUUCCUCGGAUCAUAGAAUCGCUCAUUAAACAAAAAUCAUUGUCUGUAAUUUACAUACCAUCGAGUGUGCAACAAUUAUUUUAAACAUCAAAAGACUAGAUACCAUUAGAUUUAAUUCUUAUUUAUACCAUACUAAACCAUAAAAUACCACAAUCCACACAAUAUCCACCACUAAAUACAUAAAGAUUAGAAUAGUUUAUCUCUCACUAAGAAUCACAAUUUACUUUUCUUAUAACCACAAUAAUUUAUAUUAUUCCUUAUAUUCACACACCUAAAAAAAUAUUUGAUGAAUACAACAAUACGCUUUACUCUACCAAGCAGUGAUUACUCAUAAAUCAAACUCACUUCAUAUCAUAAUUCUACCAAUAUUAUUCUUUAUGAAAAAUACUCAUCACUAAUUAUUAUCGUAAAUCACACCAAAUUCUUCAAUACUCAAACCUUAUAAAAAUCAUGUAUGUACUUAUACCAAUUAAUAUAUAUCUAUUCCAUUCAGAAAAGUAUUUACCUCAAUAAUUAUAAUAAAUUCCACUAACCAACAUCAUAUAAAUUUCAUCAAAUACAUACACUAAUUCGAUGCUCUAAUUAAAUAGAUUCUAAUGUCCUUGAAUCCGAAUCAUUUAUUUCUCUUAUUAAAUAAUUAGCAACCCAUUCUCAAUUCCGCAGGCACACAUAUACACGCAUUCAUGCAUUCUUCUAUAUGUAUUCCACAUUCAACACGUAUUAAAUAAAAAUAGCACACUUUCAUCGUCUAACUUCAACUUAUUAAUCUUAUAUAACUUAUCUUCUUACAUACUUAAAUUAUAUAUGAAUAUUAUUUAUUCCAUAGAAGGAUUUUUGCUUAACCCAUUCCCUUAACAUCAUUUACUAAAUCACAUCUCUAAAGAACAAGAAUACAAAUUUUACUCAUUAAACAACUUGACCCUAAUCUGGUUGGGAACAACGCUGAAGAGGAAAGCAAGGAAGACUAUGUCAAGACAUGACAGGAAUUACUCCGCAGUUACAUCUAGACUUAUGAACUUUUGCUCUGAUACCACCUUUGUCACGACCCGUUUCCGUGGGCCGGACCGGCACUAGGGCCCAGGUAAGCUUAAGGCCCCCUAGGCCCUAGUAAGCCUAAAUUAUUCAAUCUGUCUACAUAAUUCCCUUAAUUCAUCAAAACAGUAAGCCCAUAUGACUCGAGAUAUAAGAUUAUAAAAAUUUUCAAUCAUCUGGCCCAAUCCAAUCUCAAUAAUACAUAAUAUUUAGCCAGGGCUUAUUCACAAUAAAUCAUAUGCACAAUAUGGGCUUACUGAUUCAUCUGCAAAUAAUUACUCAAUAAAUAAUUUAUAGCGUAGUGCUAACAAUAAAGUCCAAUAUAAAUACACAACCCUAUAACUGCGGAGUUCAAUAAUAAUCUGAUAAUAGAAUAAUUUAUACAUCCAAAAUUAAACAACAGAAAUAUAAAAUUUACUUUUAUAACUCUGCGGAGAAGAUUGCAGAGUCUCAGUCGAAUCAGCUGCUUCCUAGUACCUGAGAGGUUUGUUCGGGGGAGGGUGAGUUUUGCAACUCAGUGAAUAAUAAGAACUAACACACACAACAUACAGUCAAGCAAAAUGCUCCAUAAUAUACUGAAUGAGCACACAACAGUCAAUCAUAUGACAUCACAUCAGCACCCACAAACAAUAUCACCUUCAAAUAAUCACAUCACGUGGAAAUUAGUCAGUGGCGUCACCUAAACCCCCGAUGAGCUGUCCUCUCAAACAGCCCAUCCUCUCAAACGUGUGCCCCCGGGGAGCCAAUCCCCCAUAUCUGGCCGACCGGUCUAAUCCUCACUUGACCAGUCCUCUCAAAAUUUUAUUUUACAUUCUCUCUUUUCUUUUUUCUAUAUCAUUCAUAUCAUAUCAUUAGGUGCACACGGGGGCGCCGAUCUCCCAUUUACCCGGCCGACGGUCCAAUUUCAUAAUUUAAGCAGGAUCCAUAUUUAUCGACCGUCCUCACAAACCCACGGUGCCCCACUUCAUCCCAACUCCACACAAACAGAGCACAGUAUAUACACAGCACAAAUAAUCAAACAAUUCAUUUAUCAUAAUACACCAAUUUCAUCCAAAUGCACAAUUAUGCAUAAGUAUAAUUAUAGUGAUCAUAACAUAAUAUAUAUGAGAAAAUACAAUAUGUAAAUAUAUAAAAAUGUAAUGUUAUGCAAAUGCAGUGUUGACAUGCAUUAUUUAUUAUUACUCACUGUGGCGGAGAACGAAGCUCUAGCUUUGAUUCUAUCCGGGAGGAGCACUAGAUGGACCCGAGCGAUGCGUGUUAGAUCGAAGUACACACGCUAGGACUGUCAAGCGGUGGCCGGAGAUGCACUGGAGCAGCGGCAAAGCUGCUGUGACGUCGGCAGAGGCGCGAUCUGUUGUGGCAGAGCAAUGGCGGGGCAGCAGGGCAACGGUGGUGGCGCGACAAGGUGGAGAUCGUGCUGCUGCCGUGCGCUGCGCGAUCUGGCAGAAAGCGAAGCUACUGGCUGUGGCGCGCGGAGGAGCAGAAAGACGGUGCUGGCGCGCAAUGGAGGCGGUGCGACUGGCUGAGCUCGUGGUGGUGGCNNNNNNNNNNNNNNNNNNNNNNNNNNNNNNNNNNNNNNNNNNNNNNNNNNNNNNNNNNNNNNNNNNNNNNNNNNNNNNNNNNNNNNNNNNNNNNNNNNNNNNNNNNNNNNNNNNNNNNNNNNNNNNNNNNNNNNNNNNNNNNNNNNNNNNNNNNNNNNNNNNNNNNNNNNNNNNNNNNNNNNNNNNNNNNNNNNNNNNNNNNNNNNNNNNNNNNNNNNNNNNNNNNNNNNNNNNNNNNNNNNNNNNNNNNNNNNNNNNNNUUUUUAAUUGGUUUUCGAUUCGGUUUAUCACUGUACAAAUUAUUAAUUCACGUUUAAAUAUUUAAAUACAUUUUCCACGCUGUCUGUUUAUUAAAUUUAAAUGAAAAAUCUUUGAAAACAAAAAUUCGGGUUAUUUCAGUCUUCCCCCCUUAUAAAAAUUCGUCCUCGAAUUUUAAAAGUAACAGGUAACUAGAAAACAAUGAUGGUUGUGCUUGUCACAUAAUGCUGCAACUGAUAAAAGUUAUUACAUUCAUAUUCAGUAGAAUACUUGUUCGUCUGAGCAGCUAGAAGGAUGAAUCAAGAAGAUGAGACAAAUAUUUUUCAAUUCGUUAGUCAGACCAAGGUAACUAAUUUUUAUUAAAUUUAUGAAGACAAACCAAUGGGAAGAAAAUUUAAUUUAUAGGGAGGGUAGGAUGAUUAUGAGAUGAAUCUAUCACCAUAGUUAAUUUAAACGUGAAUUAUACUAUGUCUACAAGUUGUCCCCUCAAGUCAAAUAUUCAUAACUUAAAGCACAGAUUCGACACUAAUAUUCACUUUUACACGUAAGAAUUUUAACCACUUAUAACCUCUGCUCAAGCAAUGGUUAUUAAUCUCAUUAGCUCUAUAUCAUGUGUCCUUACAUUGAUGUAUCGUCAUUUAUUCUCUCACUAGCUAUCAUAGGCAAAGAUCAUCACUCCAUAAGAAACUCAUACACAAACCAAGUAUUUAAUCUUACUGAUAUAAGAAUCCACAUAUGCAAUCAAAUUUACUACUACCCAAUUUGGACUCCUUAUUUUAAAAUUCAAAACCUACAUGCCGACUCAAUCCAUUUUUCAUCAAUUCCAAUUCCAUAUAUUUGCCCUCAUAAUCAUUGAAGUUGUUCAUAAUUAAAUAAGAUGAUGCUGCCAAUUCAAGAUGGUUCUCGAUUAUUACCAAAUUCUGCCAUUAAGUGCUAUUUGAAUCAUUUCCAAUUAAAGAGAACGAAUUCUUGCCAUUACUACAAGCUUAUUUCAAAUAGAAUUAUGACAUUUCUCUAGCUAAGUGCUAUCGACUCAUAAGAGACUAUAUAGAGAGAAUUUAAAUUCACAAUCAAAUCUCUAUUUUAGUUAUUAACUUCUCUAUUCCUCUCUCCAAUUUUUCAUACCAUACCAUUUCUUAACUAAUUAUUACAAGAACUUAUGCAACUAGCCAAGUGAGCUGUUGCCAUGCCGGAUAAUUCUUAAUUUAUUUUCUAAAAUUUGCAAACACCAUUCUAUUAUACGCAAUUCCAUAAAGAAAUCCAGCUUACAUUUUUUUUUUUACAAGCUUAAUCAAGAUGUAAAAUUCUCCAAACCGUAAUUUAUAUCCAAUUUACCUACGUCGACGUAUCCAGAAAUCCUAAACAAGUAGUGCCUUUUGCUCUAGCUAAGUAUGAGAUUAAGGAUAUUAAACCUAUAAUCUAAUUCCUGAUUACACUAUGUCCAUUGUUUUAUAUUUAUUCUUAAUCCCAUGAAUUCUUAAAGAAUAUUCAGAUAAUAAUAUCAUAGGGUUAUUCCUCCUUUCUCCAAGUCUAUCUUAAUGUCUA